Molecule: RNA transcript, 5656 nt
Organism: Zea mays
Lineage: Eukaryota; Viridiplantae; Streptophyta; Magnoliopsida; Poales; Poaceae
Gene name: ribonuclease P protein subunit p29
Exons: 11
Source: RefSeq, a predicted model, not a curated record
CAGAAACGACAUGUCAGAGUUCGGUCGUGCACAACGUUUAGGCUCCUACAUGGUGACAAAAUAAAUUGAAGCAUAUCAUUCACGGCUGGAAAUUAAUAUGAAGAAAAAUGAAAAAUGAGUAAAAAAGGCACUUAAUUCUAUUUUAGAGAAGAGGUUAACUUAUAAGUACUAUUUUAGAGAAGUUAAAUUUGUAGAUACUAUAAGGGUUGAUUUGGUGAGAAGUGAUCACGGGAGAUUGGAGAAGAUUGAGGGGAAAAUUAGUUUAUUUUCUCCUCAAUUCUCUCCAAUCUUCCGUGAUCCACUUGUCACCAAAUCAGCCCUAAAGAGAAACCUGUUUAAACGAGUGUUAUAAUACCAAAUCUCUAGCAGACGGGAACCUGCGAACCUGAACCCUCAAACCCCGCCCGUUGGCCUCCCAUACCUUCCGCGCCGAACACCCGCCGUCGCCAAAACUGACGGCUCCUCCCCCUCUCCCCUCUCCCCUUUUGUGAUUGGACUGAAGUGGGAUUCAUAUAUCAGGUGUUUGGAUUCUUCUCUUUCCUCUGCUGGCGUGGACGUCGGUCUUCUUCUUUUUGUGCUGUUUCCCCCCUUUAUCUUCUCAUUCAGCGAUCUUCAAAUUCAAUAUGUUGUCUGUCGGAUUGGCGCUCUAGUCUGGUGGGUUUGCUUUCAGAUUUGCCGAGUAUCAAUCCGGGUCCCCAUUCGGUGGUGGCUGAAGCUCGGUUUCUCCAUGGCGCUCCGUGCAGCUUCAUGAAUCCAUGUUCUCAAGUGUAUUUGAUCAUGAUUCUAUAAACAACCAUCUUAUAUUACUAAUCUGUAGGAGUUUUUUUUACAUGUUGGUGGUCCAAGCUGAAAAAAAUAACUUAGGACAAAGCUAGAUUGUCUUUUACAUUUGUGAUUGGAAGGAGUAGGCUUUUUCAUUAUCCAGUGGCAGUUAUAGACAGUUGUUGCGCUCGUGCAGCUUCAAAUAUUUUGGGAUGUUGCCAUGUUAAGGUAUUAGCCUUUUGUUGUUUCAGUAUACUAGCUUCCUAAAGGAUCGAUGUCGGCUAUCUCCGAUCAGAAGAAACGCACCUUGGAAGCCCUUCAGCAACAAUAUACUGCUGCAAAAGCUAAGAAAUUGCAAGAUGAACAGGUUAAGAGUCAGAAGAAGAGCAAUUUUAAUACCCCUAAGCCUAAAUUUGAUGCACCAAGGGGAAGCAAAGGCAAGGUUUUGUUUAUCAGCAUUUUCUAUCAUGCUGCUGCUGCUUUUCAGAUGUAGCAUUUUCUAGUUCUAAUUGUCAACAAAAGCCUUCCACGUCCUCAGGUGAAGAAAUCAAUCCUGUGUAUGCUGAACUUUCUUGUGCUUUUCAUGACACUUUGUCCAAAGGAUUUGGAUGGCACAGAGGUUGUUCACAAUGUUAUAUAUGACAUAAUUCAGAAAGGUGGAGAUGCUGAGAAAAUUACAAAGGGAGCCAAAAGGUUGAAACUGGAAAAAGGGAUCCUUUUGGAUAAUUAUGGUCAAAGGGGUUCUAGAUUAGUGGAUGACCAAGCAAGAUCUUUGCUAAUUCAUUCAAAGCGAUCAAAAAGGCACAUGUCUCUGAAACAACAUAAGAAAUGUGGUUCAUUUGAUUUAGAUGGUACAUUCCACAAGUAAGUUUUGUUCUGGUCAGUGUUCGGCUAGGCGCCGACUAGGCGGCGAUUAGGCGCGCCUAGGCGCUAGUCGAUAGGCUGCCGCGUAGCCUAGGGUCCUGUGCGGCGUCUAGGCGGCCGCGGUGACUAGGCGGCGCUCAGCCGCGCCUAGGCGGCGAGUUGGCGGCGCGCAGGCGAGCGCGCGGCAAUUUUUAGCGCGCGCGCGCGCGCGGGAGUUUUAGCGCGGGGGAGUAUUAGCGCGCGCUGUGCAGCCGCUCGGUCUCCCUCCCACACGGUCACGGAAAUUGCUCCCCCGCCGCCGCUCAUCCCCUCCUGCUGCUCCCCCGCCGGCUGCUCUCCUCCCUGCUCCCCCGCCGUGUACAAGUGAAAGAAAUCAAAGGAUUAAGGUUUAAGGAUGUCAUCAGAAACUGCAGCUGCACCUUCUGAAACUGAAGCAGCUAGAGCGAAUCUCCUAAAAAGAAAUUCAGAUGAUGUUGGAUGGGAAUAUGGUGUUCUUGUUGAUGCUAACAACAAAGACAAGGUGAAGUGUAAGUUCUGUGACAAGGAGAUGAGGGGAGGGAUUUAUAGGUUGAAGGAGCAUCUUGCCCAUGUUGGAAAGAAUGUGAAGAAAUGCACGUCUGCAACACCGCAGGCUCUAGAGGCUAAAGAGAAGUGCAAGAAAGCAAUAGAGGCUGCAAAAAGGAAGAGGGAGGAGAAGACUGUUCGUGAGCUAGAACUUAGAGAGGAAGUGAAUGUAUCUAGGGUUGGAGAGGAGUCAGAAGAAGUCACUUGUGUUGGAAGCUCACAGCCUCACAAAUUAGGGCCAAUUGACAAAUGGACACGUGCUAUUGAUCCUACCAAGGCUGGUUCAUUCAAACAACAGCAGCUGAACAAGGAACUAUGGAAAGAAAGAGAGCAUGAGGUGCACAAGUUUAUUGCAAGAUGGGCCUAUAAUCAUGGAAUACCUUUCAAUGCAUGUGACAAUGAUGAGUUCAAGCAAAUGUGUGAAGCAAUUGGACAAUUUGGACCAGGACUUACACCUCCAACUCAAGAUGCCUUUUGAGGUAGUUUGCUGGAAGAAGAAUAUGAAAGAACCAAGUGUUUGCUGCAGGAACGUGAAGCCGAGAAGAUGAAAAAUGGGUGCUCUAUUAUGACCGAUGCUUGGUCAGAUAGGAAGAGGAGAAGCAUAAUGAAUAUAUGCACUAAUUGUGCUGAUGGAACCUCCUUCAUCAGCUCAAAAGAGAUGUCAGAUGUGUCACACACAAGCGAAGUCAUUUUUGAAUUAGUGGACAAAGCAAUUGAAGACAUUGGUGAAGAAAAUGUGGUGCAAGUAGUCACUGACAAUGCCUCUAACAACAUGGGAGCAAAGAAGCUAUUGCUUGAGAAGAGACCACAAAUAUUUUGGACCUCUUGUGUAGCUCACACAAUCAACUUGAUGCUCCAAGGAAUUGGCAAAUUGCCUCGGUUCAGGAAAGUGAUUGACCAAGCAAAGUCAUUUACCAUAUUUGUGUAUGGCCACACAAGAACAUUGGAGUGCUUGAGAUACUUCACAGAGGGGAAAGAGCUAGUGAGGCCAGGAGUGACUAGGUUUGCUUCAUACUUUCUCACUUUGAACAGUAUGCAAGAGAAGAAGGACCAGUUAAGGAAGAUGGUAGUUCAUAGCAGGUGGGACUCAUUAAAGGAUGUGGAAUCAAAGAAAGGAAAAGAGGCCACAGCUACUAUAUUGAGUCCAGCCUUUUGGAAGGAUGUGAAGCUAAUGUUGGCUGUUUUUGAGCCAUUGGUCAAAGUCCUCCGUUUGGUUGAUGGGGAUGUGAAGCCAUCCAUGGGUUUCCUUUAUGGAGAGCUACUAAAGGCAAAAAGAGAGAUCAAAGAGGCCUUUGGCAAUGUUGAGUCUCGAUUCAAAGAUGUUAUGGCUGUAAUUGAGAAGAAGAUGAAUGGAAGACUUGAUUCUCCAUUGCAUUUGACAGCUUUUUUGCUGAAUCCACACUAUAGCUAUGCUAACCCAUCAAUAUUUGAUGAGCCCAAAAUGAAUGAAGCCUUCAUAUCUUGUGUCGAGCAAUUUUAUUAUCAUGAUGAGGACCAACAAGAACAGGCUGCCAACUUUGAAUUGAAAAAAUUUCAGAAUAGAGAAGGACCAUUUAGCAAGAAGCUUGCAAGAACUUUUCAAAACUAUGAUUACAAUCCAGCAUCAUGGUGGCGGUUAUAUGGAACUGAAACACCAGCUUUACAAAAGAUGGCUACAAGGAUAUUAUCUUUGACAUCAAGCUCUUCUGGUUGUGAAAGAAAUUGGAGUGGGUUUGAAGGGAUACACACUAAGAAGAGAAAUAGGCUGACUACAACCCGCCUCAACAAGUUGGUCUAUAUUCAGUUCAAUAACAGGCUGAUGAAUAACAGAGAAAAGAUUAAGUCAAAGAAAAUCACUGAUGUUCUCUUGUCUAGUGAUACAACUGAAGCUCAAGGUUUUCUCCAAGAGGGUGGAGAUGAUUGUGCACAAGUUGUCUUUAGAGAUGAGGAGGAAGAUGAGAUGGAAGGUACAGGGAUACCUUGGUCUAUUAUUGGAGAGGCAAUUGGAGCAGAAGAACAGCUUGAGCCUCGUAGAAGUGCAAGAGUGAGAGAGCUCUAUGAAGGAGAAGAGUUUGAGUCUGAAGAAGAAGAGUAUGAAGAUGAAGAUUUGUGCUACAGUGAAGAUGAAAUAUGAUCUGGACCAUCUCCAUCUAGUAGUGAAGCCUUUUGUGAUGCCCUGGUCUUAUGAACUGCAGCUGUGUCACUUUGUGUCUGUGUGUCUUCUUUUGUGUGAGACCUGAACUAAGAACUAUGUGCUUGUGUUGUCCUUUAUUUAUAAAUUGUGUUCUGCACUUGUAUUACUGUCCUAUCCACUUGUGUUGUAAUUACCAGCUGCUGAUAUGGUGUGCAGUGUGCUCAACUGCUCAUGAAUGGGAGGCUGCUGAAAUCAUCCAGAUAAGUCACAAUUUAGUGUUUUCUAUUUUUUUUAUGAACAGCUAGCUGUCUAUUGACUAAUUUACUAACUACUAGCUGUCAAAAUGUGUUGCAGCCUUGCAGGAGCUAGGAACAUGCAAGAGUAAGCUAAGCUAGGAAUCAGAUAUGUCUACUGGCCUUCUUUUUAUACUUACUGUGACUCAUAUAGUCAUAUAUAGUAGUUAUAUACGUAUAUAUAGUUAUAUACAUAAUAUAUAUAAUUUAUGGCUAUAUUGCUAAAACGCCUAGAAAAGCGCCUAGAAACGCCUAAGACCGAGUACUCCCGACUAGGCGCUAGGCAAUGGGUCACCGCCUAGAUUCCGCCUAGCGCCUAGCUGAACCUUGGUUCUCGUUGCCCAUAGAUUGAUACCUCACCACCAAAAAACAUGACUUUUUUUUUGUUUCUGUCUACACGAAGCUACAGUUUAUGUCCUUGCUCAAAUUUCCACAUAGCACCUGAUGUUCUUGAUCUUGUAGGUACGACCUCUAUAAGCUAAUGCAUGAGAUGUGGAAGGACUAUAUCAAAGAGCUUAUGGAUAUGAGCCCGAAAAAGAAAUUUACUGAGAACCUUCUUUCAGCAGAUCUUCAUGGGGCCCUUCUAAUAGAGUGUAAACGGAAUCAUGAUUCGGGAUACUGCAGAGACGUUUGGAAUUAUAUCCGAGGACAACCGCUUCCGGGUUUACCAAAAGCUGGUUCAGUUUUCGUACUUCAAGCAGACCGCUGGAAGUUCACACUGAUCGGCGACAAGCUCUCGCCCAGGGAGAAGUUGAAGGAGGAUCAGCGUCAACAACGUGCGCAAUCGCUAAUCAGAUAGUUUCCAAUGUGCCAGCUGUUCUCUCACAAAUCUUUUGCUCCACGGAAUACUUGCUUUUGUUUAGGUCCUGCCACUGUAGCAUGGUAGUUUUAUCGCUCUAGAGGCGUUGACAUUUCUUAGCGACUUACUGGCAGCUCGAGUUGUGGAGGGGUGUGUGAUCAUGAGCCAUGUACUCCGGUGACUGAUUAUUGAUUAGUAUAGGCGUAGCAAGGCCAUUUACGUUUGUUUCAUCUAGUCACACAAACCUGUGGCAAAUAUUUA